CAACCCUCAGGACUCCUCUUCUGGAGAACUGGCGUUGGGGAUCAGCGUAGGCGCGGGGUUCUGCCCCGCCAGCUGGCCCUGAAAUACAGUGGCGGUCUCGCUCUGGACUCCCUUGCGUAGUAACUCACCUCGCCUGUGGAAACCUAGCCUGGCCACGCCGUAAAACCCCCUACUUUUUUAU
RNAcentral lists this unclassified non-coding RNA (181 nucleotides) under uncultured Sordariomycetes. Its description in RNAcentral is "sequence contains ITS2". The record is from RNAcentral. Lineage: Eukaryota; Fungi; Ascomycota; Sordariomycetes.